RNAcentral lists this ribosomal RNA (200 nucleotides) under uncultured organism. Its description in RNAcentral is "partial small subunit ribosomal RNA". It matches the Rfam family "Bacterial small subunit ribosomal RNA", at positions 1183 to 1382 of the family's 1533-position model. The record is from RNAcentral.
CGUCAAGUCAGCAUGGCCUUUAUGUCUGGGGCUACACACGUGCUACAAUGGCAGAUACAAACCGUCGCGAGACCGCAAGGUGGAGCUAAUCGGAUAAAGUCUGUCUCAGUUCGGAUUGCAGGCUGCAACUCGCCUGCAUGAAGUUGGAAUCGCUAGUAAUCGCGGAUCAGCACGCCGCGGUGAAUACGUUCCCGGGCCUU